This 446-nucleotide ribosomal RNA is filed under the name uncultured bacterium. RNAcentral's name for it is "partial 16S ribosomal RNA". It matches the Rfam family "Bacterial small subunit ribosomal RNA", at positions 338 to 795 of the family's 1533-position model. The record is from RNAcentral.
CCUACGGGAGGCUGCAGUCGAGAAUCAUUCACAAUGGGGGAAACCCUGAUGGUGCGACGCCGCGUGGGGGAAUGAAGGUCUUCGGAUUGUAAACCCCUGUCAUGUGGGAGCAAAUUAAAAAGAUAGUACCACAAGAGGAAGAGACGUCUAACUCUGUGCCAGCAGCCGCGGUAAUACAGAGGUCUCAAGCGUUGUUCGGAAUCACUGGGCGUAAAGUGUGCGUAGGCGGUAUCGAAAGUCGUGGGUGAAAGGCGCGGGCUCAACCCGCGGACGGCACAUGAUACUGGGAGACUAGAGUAAUGUAGGGGGAAACGGAAUUCUCGGUGUAGCAGUGAAAUGCGUAGAUAUCGAGAGGAACACUCGUGGCGAAGGCGGGUUACUGGACAGUAACUGACGCUGAGGAACGAAGGCCAGGGGAGCGAAAGGGAUUAGAUACCCGUGUAGUC